RNAcentral lists this ribosomal RNA (468 nucleotides) under uncultured bacterium. Its description in RNAcentral is "partial 16S ribosomal RNA". It matches the Rfam family "Bacterial small subunit ribosomal RNA", at positions 28 to 507 of the family's 1533-position model. The record is from RNAcentral.
GACGAACGCUGGCGGCGUGCUUAACACAUGCAAGUCGAACGGAAAGGCCCUGCUUUUGUUGGGUGCUCGAGUGGCGAACGGGUGAGUAACACGUGAGUAACCUGCCCUUGACUUUGGGAUAACUUCAGGAAACUGGGGCUAAUACCGGAUAGGAGCUCCUGCUGCAUGGUGGGGGUUGGAAAGUUUCGGCGGUUGGGGAUGGACUCGCGGCUUAUCAGCUUGUUGGUGGGGUAGUGGCUUACCAAGGCUUUGACGGGUAGCCGGCCUGAGAGGGUGACCGGCCACAUUGGGACUGAGAUACGGCCCAGACUCCUACGGGAGGCAGCAGUGGGGAAUAUUGCACAAUGGGCGGAAGCCUGAUGCAGAACCGCCGCGUGCGGGAUGACGGCCUUCGGGUUGUAAACCGCUUUCGCCUGUGACGAAGCGUGAGUGACGGUAAUGGGUAAAGAAGCACCGGCUAACUACGUG